CCAACAGGGAUUGCCCCAGUAACGGCGAGUGAAGCGGCAAGAGCUCAAAUUUGAAAGCUGACUCCUUCGGGGUCCGCAUUGUAAUUUGCAGAGGAUGCUUCGGGAGCGGUCCCCAUCUAAGUGCCCUGGAACGGGACGUCAUAGAGGGUGAGAAUCCCGUAUGGGAUGGGGUGUCCGCGCCCGUGUGAAGCUCCUUCGACGAGUCGAGUUGUUUGGGAAUGCAGCUCUAAAUGGGUGGUAAAUUUCAUCUAAAGCUAAAUAUUGGCCGGAGACCGAUAGCGCACAAGUAGAGUGAUCGAAAGAUGAAAAGCACUUUGAAAAGAGAGUUAAAAAGCACGUGAAAUUGUUGAAAGGGAAGCGCUU
Molecule: ribosomal RNA, 363 nt
Filed under: uncultured fungus
Lineage: Eukaryota; Fungi
Description: LSU rRNA
Rfam family: Eukaryotic large subunit ribosomal RNA
Source: RNAcentral